GAUAACUUGAAUUUCACAGCAAAAUUUGUACAAGGAGUUUACCUGUGGAUUUCCACAUUGCCCAAUCAGGAAAUGUCUUCAGAAUUAACAAACGGCCGCUGUCAACUAGUUUCACUGCCAUUAUAUUGCUGAUAACCUUUUUCCACUUUCUGAACACAUAGGUAUCGAAAACAAAAGUGAACAAGUUGUAAUUUAGAAUGAGGAAUUGUGACGUCUAAGGGGAUUCCCAGAGCCUCGCUGUCAGCACCAGCUCUUAAAAGCUCUUGAAAUGCAGACUGCAUCACAGCAGCUAGUACACUGACCGAGUGUUGGCAACUGAAGCGCUGGAAUUCUGCUUUGUAUUAAUCGUAAUAGACAUAUAUAUAUAAAAAAAAACUGUGAUAGAAAAUGAAACCAGAAUCAAGAAAGUCUUCGAUCAAGAAGAACGAAAAUCAAAAAUUAUCAAUAAAAGAUCAGAAAGCCAUCGCAGAAUGUGCUCUUCAUCUCCGGAAGAUAGGAGACGUCUUCAACUUAAAGUACAAACUUCUGUACUUCUUGGAAAAAAAUAAUAGAACUUUUCUAAAAAAGAAGUGAAAAAAUGCUUGUUGAAGAGUUUUUAUUGCCAAAAACUAAAAUAAAAAAAUAGGGAAAAUGAAGGACAUAACCGACAUCGAAACUAUGACACAACCUUACGGAGACGGAAGAAUGCUUCGGAAUCCAGGGCUGGUAGCCGGUGGACCCUCGUUAUGAAAGUCUGGCGAUGAGAUUUUCUGAGAGGUAGCCGUUAAAACCAAGACAGGAUUCAGUGGAUGUGUUUUACAUGUUGCUUUGGAGAAAAGGAAAACGGGACACUAGAAUCGUUUUCUUCCAAGUGGCACGCAAAAGAAACAACUGACGCAAAACCCUGAAAAAAUGUUAAAGCCAUCGAAAACUUCACUUUCCCUGCGAGUUUUCCUGUUUAUUACAAAAGAGGAGACAUCUUAAAAGAAGGGUUUGUGAUGGACAAAGGAGGCGUUAUUUUGCCAGGCUGAUGUAAAUGCAUGUAGCCUGCAGUGACCUACACUGUGUGGUGGUCAUGAAGACAAGGAGAUGGAGAUGGAAGGCAUUUGUGAACAUAACCGUUAUUAUAUCCCCCCCAAAAAAAACAAAACAAAACAAACUAGAUUAGGCCAAAGGGCAUUCCUACGGUUUUUUUUCCUAUUAUUUCACAGCUUUUAUCUGAACAUUAAUAAUUAAUAAUGAAUAAUAAUUAAUUUUUCUUGUGUUUUUUAAUUCUUGUUUAGAACUAAACGUCCCUUUCAUAUAUGACACAUUGGGAUCUGAUGUCACUAAAAAUGCUCACGUUAUGAAGAAAAUGUAAACUGAAAAUAUUUGGAUUUGUGGUGUGGAUCAUGACUGUAUUCAGCCUAACUGUUCUGUAAGAGUAGUCAAUUUUGAAAUGUAAUUUGGUUUGCAUAAUUGUAAAAUAAAGCUUUCAUCUCAAAGUAGAA
Non-coding RNA from Lepisosteus oculatus (spotted gar), 1469 nucleotides. NCBI's taxonomy places the organism in Eukaryota, Metazoa, Chordata, Actinopteri, Semionotiformes, Lepisosteidae. The record is from RefSeq and is a predicted model, not a curated record.